Non-coding RNA from Gyrodon lividus, 84 nucleotides. NCBI's taxonomy places the organism in Eukaryota, Fungi, Basidiomycota, Agaricomycetes, Boletales, Gyrodontaceae. The record is from the annotation of a GenBank genome assembly.
GCCCUCGUUGUCUAAUGGCUAUGACGUCAGACUUCUAAUUUAGUGGCGAUCUGGAGGUUGUGGGUUCGAGUCCCACCGGGGGCU